CAGCAGCCGCGGUAAUACGAAGGGGGCUAGCGUUGCUCGGAAUGACUGGGCGUAAAGGGCGCGUAGGCGGAUUGUUUGGUUAGGCGUGAAAUUCCUGGGCUUAACCUGGGGACUGCGCUUAAUACAGGCAGUCUAGAGUGAGGAAGAGGGUUGUGGAAUUCCCAGUGUAGAGGUGAAAUUCGUAGAUAUUGGGAAGAACACCGGUGGCGAAGGCGGCAACCUGGUCCUUGACUGACGCUGAGGCGCGAAAGCGUGGGGAGCAAACAGGAUUAGAUACCCCAGUAGUCCCUGUCUCUUAUAC
This 301-nucleotide ribosomal RNA is filed under the name uncultured bacterium. Its description in RNAcentral is "partial 16S ribosomal RNA". It matches the Rfam family "Bacterial small subunit ribosomal RNA", at positions 509 to 807 of the family's 1533-position model. The record is from RNAcentral.